GAAGUGAAAUCCAUAAGCUAUUUCAUAUAGAAGUCUUCAAAAGAUAUCAAGUCAGGAGAGUUAAUUCACAUCCCUUUCUUGGAGUCGAUGUCUCAGAUUACCUCGUUAUAGGUUUUAAGAUCAUCUCUAUAUUUCCUAUCUCCCAUGAGAAAUGACUUUCUCUACAUCUUCUGUUUAGCAUACCCAAGUACCUUUCGAGAGGAUUGGAGAUCCUACUGUGUGUAUGAGGUGG
RNAcentral lists this long non-coding RNA (232 nucleotides) under Elaeis guineensis (African oil palm). Its description in RNAcentral is "long non-coding RNA (EGUI_LNC041871)". The record is from RNAcentral. Lineage: Eukaryota; Viridiplantae; Streptophyta; Magnoliopsida; Arecales; Arecaceae.